RNAcentral lists this ribosomal RNA (406 nucleotides) under uncultured bacterium. Its description in RNAcentral is "partial 16S ribosomal RNA". It matches the Rfam family "Bacterial small subunit ribosomal RNA", at positions 30 to 526 of the family's 1533-position model. The record is from RNAcentral.
AUUGAACGCUGGCGGCAGGCCUAACACAUGCAAGUCGAGCGAGCGGCGGACGGGGGUGUAAUGUCUGGGAAACUGCCUGAUGGAGGGGGAUAACUACUGUAAACGGUAGCUAAUACCGCAUACCAUCAGAUGUGCCCAGAUGGGAUGAGCUCGUAGGUGGGGUAACGGCUCACCCAGGCGACGAUCCCUCGCUGGUCUGAGAGGAUGACCAGCCACACUGGAACUGAUACACGGUCCAGACUCCUACGGGAGGCAGUAGUGGGGAAUAUUGCACAAUGGGCGCAAGCCUGAUGCAGCCAUGCCGCGUGUGUGAAGAAGGCCUUCGGGUUGUAAAGCACUUUCAGCGGGGAGGCGUUACCCGCAGAAGAAGCACCGGCUAACUCCGUGCCAGCAGCCGCGGUAAUAC